CCUACGGGAGGCAGCAGUGAGGAAUAUUGGUCAAUGGCCGUAAGGCUGAACCAGCCAAGUCGCGUGAAGGAAGAAGGAUCUAUGGUUUGUAGACUUCUUUUAUCGGGGAAUAAAGGUAUCCACGUGUGGCUAUUUGCAUGUACCCUAUGAAUAAGCAUCGGCUAACUCCGUGCCAGCAGCCGCGGUAAUACGGAGGAUGCGAGCGUUAUCCGGAUUUAUUGGGUUUAAAGGGUGCGUAGGUUGUUUUUUAAGUCAGCGGUGAAAGUUUGUGGCUCAACCAUAACAUUGCCGUUGAAACUGGAAGACUUGAGAGUGCUUGAGGUAGGCGGAAUGCGUGGUGUAGCGGUGAAAUGCAUAGAUAUCACGCAGAACUCCGAUUGCGAAGGCAGCUUACUAAGCCAUAACUGACACUGAAGCACGAAAGCGUGGGGAUCAAACAGGAUUAGAUACCCCUGUAGUC
RNAcentral lists this ribosomal RNA (460 nucleotides) under uncultured bacterium. RNAcentral's name for it is "partial 16S ribosomal RNA". It matches the Rfam family "Bacterial small subunit ribosomal RNA", at positions 338 to 795 of the family's 1533-position model. The record is from RNAcentral.